UGGGGAAUUUUGGACAAUGGGCGAAAGCCUGAUCCAGCAAUGCCGCGUGUGUGAAGAAGGCCUUCGGGUUGUAAAGCACUUUUGUCCGGAAAGAAAUCCUCUGGGUUAAUACCUCGGGGGGAUACGGUACCGGAAGAAUAAGCACCGGCUAACUACGUGCCAGCAGCCGCGGUAAUACGUAGGGUGCAAGCGUUAAUCGGAAUUACUGGGCGUAAAGCGUGCGCAGGCGGUUUUGUAAGACGGAUGUGAAAUCCCCGGGCUUAACCUGGGAACUGCAUUCGUGACUGCAAGGCUAGAGNAUGGCAGAGGGGGGUAGAAUUCCACGUGUACAGUGAAAUGCGUAGAGAUGGUGGAGGAAUACCGAUGGCGAAGGCAGCCCCCUGGGCCAAUACUGACGCUCAUGCACGAAAGGUGGGGAGCAAACAGGAUUAGAU
This 434-nucleotide ribosomal RNA is filed under the name uncultured bacterium. Its description in RNAcentral is "partial 16S ribosomal RNA". It matches the Rfam family "Bacterial small subunit ribosomal RNA", at positions 355 to 783 of the family's 1533-position model. The record is from RNAcentral.